This is a long non-coding RNA of Orcinus orca (killer whale), 1683 nucleotides long. RefSeq lists it as uncharacterized. The transcript is spliced from 2 exons. The record is from RefSeq and is a predicted model, not a curated record. Lineage: Eukaryota; Metazoa; Chordata; Mammalia; Artiodactyla; Delphinidae.
UAGGAAUCCACAUGCAAAGACGGGCAAUAAUUGGACUUCUAGCUAAAGGGACUCCACACCCUCCUGGUGGCACAGUCUCUACAGCCAUUCCAGGGCCAUCUGGAAGCACUCAGAGCCGUCGGGCACAGAGCAGUGGUCCUCAAGCUCGAGUGUGUGCAUCACCAUCACCUGGAGCAGCUACUAAAACACAGAUCACUGGGCUCCGCCUCUGGAAUCUCUGAGGUAGUAGGUCUGGGUAGGGCCCAAGAAUUGGCACUCCUAAUUGAUCCAGGAUCUACACUUUGAAAACACGGCCUGAGGGAGCGGACUUCAGGGGAGCUACAGGGAGGCUUCGCUACUGCUCCCUGCUAGUUCUAGCAUCUUGUGAUCCUGACCAUUUCCACCUAAGGGACUCAGCUUUCACCACGACUUGACUUCAGACCGCUCCAGGUGUGUUCUACCGGGGUGAAGAGAUGCUGAUUUGUUUGAAAAAUUCUAUCCUGCUGUAUCUCUUAAUAUUUGCAUGCAAAAAGAUAUAUUAAAGUGAAUAAAGACAUUUGAGAGACAGGCGAAGAUCAACAUCAGCCAUCGUCACACAUAACCAUGAUGAACCGUGCGCUGAUCUCUCUAAACCACGAGUCAAAACUGACUGAGCAGCCACUUGGGGUCUGAGGCUCCAGGGUCAGCAAACAGGGUUAAUGUUAAACCAAAAAAGGGAGGCUAAGAGCACAAGGGUUUCCCGGGAGUUAAAUGAACUGGAGGGAUGCUAUGUUUCCUGAGACCCCUGGGAAGAUCCUGGACAUGAGAGGGGAUGGAGGGAGGGGGGAAAAGAGAUUCUGAGUCCCCAAAUUACUCAUAUUUUCCACUUCCUGCCAAGGUUACAGAUGGUGCUUCACACACACAAACAUGCACUGCAGACACUGUUCUUCAGGAAGCUGGAGAGAACCAGCCCAUUACUUUUGUUCCUUUGGGAAGAUGACUACAUGUUGUUCCUUUGCUUUCAAGCCUUGAUUUUUUUUCCCCUUUUUUUAUGUGGCAGGCAGCAACCUGUCAACAAACAGACCUUAAUGCCACCACUAAAUGUCGAGCUUAUUUCAACAUUACCUCUGGAGCGGACUGCAAAGGUACAGUUGAGAUAGGUAGCCCCUAAGAUUCUGAGGUGGGGUGGUAUUUAAACUAAAAAUGUAUGUUUGCACCUUAGGUGCAUAGUAGAGUAAUAAUCAGGCCCUAUCAAACAGUUCCUUUUUGCUGUCUGAUUCUUUCAGUUUAUUUAUUUAUUUAUUUUAAAUUUUAUUAAAAAUAAUUUUUUUGGCCACACCACACGGCAUGUGGGAUCUUAGUUCCCCAACCAGGGAUUGAACCCAUGUCCCCUGCACUGGAAGCACAGAGUCUUAACCACUGGACCUUCAGGGAAGUCCCUUGAUUCUUUCAGUUUAAACUGAAAAACAUUAACUUUUCUUCCUUGUUUUGCUAAGCGGGUAGAACUAAGAUAAUUUGUGACAUUUUCAGUUUGACCAAGUGAUUUCCAUAAAUCAAAGAACCACUGGCAGAGGACAUGAUGACUAUACUUCCUCCCCCAGACUGAUUCUCCAAACAGAAAAGACUCUUGUGAUGACACACUGGACUCAGUGAAAUAAUCUGCUUCCAAAAGAAAUAGACACCUGAGGUGACUUAACAUUAAAAAUUACGAAUUAAACCAAAAAA